GAUGAACGCUGGCGGCGUGCCUAAUACAUGCAAGUCGAGCGAACAGACGAGGAGCUUGCUCCUCUGACGUUAGCGGCGGACGGGUGAGUAACACGUGGAUAACCUACCUAUAAGACUGGGAUAACUUCGGGAAACCGGAGCUAAUACCGGAUAAUAUAUUGAACCGCAUGGUUCAAUAGUGAAAGACGGUUUUGCUGUCACUUAUAGAUGGAUCCGCGCCGCAUUAGCUAGUUGGUAAGGUAACGGCUUACCAAGGCAACGAUGCGUAGCCGACCUGAGAGGGUGAUCGGCCACACUGGAACUGAGACACGGUCCAGACUCCUACGGGAGGCAGCAGUAGGGAAUCUUCCGCAAUGGGCGAAAGCCUGACGGAGCAACGCCGCGUGAGUGAUGAAGGUCUUCGGAUCGUAAAACUAUGUUAUUAGGGAAGAACAAAUGUGUAAGUAACUAUGCACGUCUUGACGGUACCUAAUCAGAAAGCCACGGCCAACUACGUG
This 497-nucleotide ribosomal RNA is filed under the name uncultured bacterium. Its description in RNAcentral is "partial 16S ribosomal RNA". It matches the Rfam family "Bacterial small subunit ribosomal RNA", at positions 28 to 507 of the family's 1533-position model. The record is from RNAcentral.